UACGAAGGUCCCGAGCGUUAUCCGGAUUUAUUGGGUUUAAAGGGUGCGUAGGCGGGUUAUUAAGUCAGUGGUGAAAGCCUUCAGCUUAACUGAAGAAUUGCCAUUGAUACUGAUGAUCUUGAGUAUGAUUGAGGUGGGCGGAAUGUGUCAUGUAGCGGUGAAAUGCUUAGAUAUGACACAGAACACCGACUGCGAAGGCAGCUCACUAAGCCAUAACUGACGCUGAUGCACGAAAGCGUGGGGAUCAAACAGG
This 253-nucleotide ribosomal RNA is filed under the name uncultured bacterium. Its description in RNAcentral is "partial 16S ribosomal RNA". It matches the Rfam family "Bacterial small subunit ribosomal RNA", at positions 524 to 776 of the family's 1533-position model. The record is from RNAcentral.